RNAcentral lists this small nuclear RNA (21 nucleotides) under Arabidopsis thaliana (thale cress). Its description in RNAcentral is "snRNA_11730". The record is from RNAcentral. Lineage: Eukaryota; Viridiplantae; Streptophyta; Magnoliopsida; Brassicales; Brassicaceae.
UUUUACGGGGAUAAGACUGAA